Molecule: long non-coding RNA, 2013 nt
Filed under: Homo sapiens (human)
Lineage: Eukaryota; Metazoa; Chordata; Mammalia; Primates; Hominidae
Description: HSALNT0402205
Source: RNAcentral
AUUCAGGUGAUCCGUCCGCCUCGGCCUCCCAAAGUGCCGGGAUUACAGGCGUGAGCCACUGCAGCCAGCCUUGGAAGAAAUUUAAAUGCAUGUUACUAAGCAAGAGAAGCCAACCAAAAAUGCUACAUACUGUAUUACUUCAAAUAUGUGGCAUUCUGGAAAAGGCAAAACUUUUUGGAGACAGAAAAAGGAUCAGCGGUUGCCAGGGUUUAGAGGGAGGGCAGGAUGCAUAGGUGGCACACUGAGGAUAUUUAGGGCAGUGAAACUGUUCUGCAUGACACGGUAAUGGUGGAUGCAUUCCAUUAUACAUUUGUCAAGACCUAUAGAAGGUCUACCACCAAGAGUAAGCCCUACGUAGACUAUGGACUUUGGGUGAUAAUGACCUGUCAAUGUAGGAUUAGCAAUAGUAACAAAUGCACUGCUUUGGUGAAGGACACUGAUAAUGGAGGAGGCUGUGCACAUGUGGGAACAGGGUAUAUAUGUGGGGAAUCUCUGUAUCUUCCACUCAAUAUUGUUAUGAGUCUAAAACUGCUCUAAGAAACAGUCUAUUCUUUAAGAAAUAGGAGAAAAGAGGAGAAGAAAGAGGGGGCGGGGGAAACAGGGAGAUCUGUAGGCUCCUGCGGAAGGUCAUUGCAAAAUACUGGUGAUUCCAGGGAAGGUUGGAACAGCCUCUUUCUGAGAAAAAAUGAGUGUGGCAGAUGUCAGCAGAUACAAUCAUCCUCUGCCGCCUGCUGCUCUUCCUUUAUUCUUGGGUCUCUGAGCUUCUCUUUCUUGUCUGAACCCCUUUGCACACAAGGAUUAGCCAAUCAGAAUGCUUUCUCCCACUGGCAACAGUGAAGACUCCAUCCUGGAGAAUCAGAACCUUCUCUAGGAUUUUUGUUGAACUUUCAACUGUUGGUUGAAAUGGUUGCCGUGGAGAUGGUCUCAGCCUAGAGCGGCUGCUGUUCAGCUUUGGCCCCUGAAGGGAGAACACAUCUGAGGAUGAAGAAUGGUUGAGGCAUUUGUUCCUCUGGUUUUCUCUCUGCUCCAGUGCAGUAGGUUGGCCUUGCCCUUCUUCUGAAGCCCCCGUUUCCAUCGGGUGGCUGGUUUCAUGCAGCUGUGGCUCCUCACAGAUUCCCUCUCUCAGUUGCCAUAACUGCUACCCUCCUUGCUCCUACAGGCACUGGGGCAGAAGUGGUUCCUCCAUUAUUAGCAGCCCAGGGUUCUUUCAACCUGCCUACAUCUGGAAAAUACCUCCUUAUCAAACUCUUCAUCACCAGUGUCAGUUCAUGGUCAGUUUCUUUCCUGAGCCCUGACCCACACCCAGGGAAAGGCCAACCUUCCGUGGCCAAGAUGAAGCCUCUUCCACUGUCAGCUGGGCACUUCUAGGGGCUGUGAGCGCUGAAGAAUGGAGAGAUUCAGGCCAUGUGUGUGGCUCUACCUCCUGAGAAACAGGCGUUAUCAGGCCUGGGCUUUGCUCACAGCACCUGCCGGCUCCUGGGAAGAAGCCACAUCUGCCUCGAACUGCCCUGACUGCCUUUGUUACGAUACCUACCCGUGGCUUGCUUGUGCCAACUCUGAAAACACAGGGCUGCCUGAGGGAGCUCUCGUGUUAGCAAGCAGCAGCUCGUGGGUCACAAGAGGCCCAUUUCAGAAUGGGUUCUGUCCCACACUCUGGAGGAAGGAAUGCUGUAUGAGGAGGCCUAGAAGAAUCUGAACAGACAGGCUUUACUGGAGUUCCCCACUCGGCCCGUUAGUAUUAGACCAGAUCUUUUUGUCCAGUCACAUUUCUACGUGGUUGCCUAUCAAAGAAGUCUCUAUAAAAAGUCCAAGAGAACAGGGUUUGGGGAGCUUCCAGGAGGCAGGAAGGUGAACAAGAAUUCAUCCACAUGCCAGACAGCUGGUGCAUCCCAAAUCCAUGGAGACAGAAGCUCCUGCACUCAGACCCUUCCAGACCUCACCCUACAUGUUUCUUCAUCUGGCUGUGUAUUUGUAUCCUUUGAAAUAUCCUUUGUAAUAAACUGUUAAACAUAA